GGGGAAUAUUGGACAAUGGGCGCAAGCCUGAUCCAGCCAUGCCGCGUGGAUGAUGAAGGCCUUAGGGUUGUAAAGUCCUUUUAACGGGGAAGAUAAUGACGGUACCCGUAGAAUAAGCCCCGGCUAACUUCGUGCCAGCAGCCGCGGUAAUACGAAGGGGGCUAGCGUUGCUCGGAAUCACUGGGCGUAAAGCGCACGUAGGCGGCUUUCUAAGUCAGGGGUGAAAUCCUGGAGCUCAACUCCAGAACUGCCUUUGAUACUGGGAAGCUUGAGUUCGGGAGAGGUGAGUGGAACUGCGAGUGUAGAGGUGAAAUUCGUAGAUAUUCGCAAGAACACCAGUGGCGAAGGCGGCUCACUGGCCCGAUACUGACGCUGAGGUGCGAAAGCGUGGGGAGCAAAC
RNAcentral lists this ribosomal RNA (400 nucleotides) under uncultured bacterium. RNAcentral describes it as "bacterial SSU rRNA". It matches the Rfam family "Bacterial small subunit ribosomal RNA", at positions 356 to 773 of the family's 1533-position model. The record is from RNAcentral.